CAGUAGCCACGGGAAUACAGAGGGUGCGAGCGUUAAUCGGAUUUACUGGGCGUAAAGCGUGCGUAAGCGGCUUUUUAAGUCGGAUGUGAAAUCCCUGAGCUUAACUUAGGAAUUGCAUUCGAUACUGGGAAGCUAGAGUAUGGGAGAGGAUGGUAGAAUUCCAGGUGUAGCGGUGAAAUGCGUAGAGAUCUGGAGGAAUACCGAUGGCGAAGGCAGCCAUCUGGCCUAAUACUGACGCUGAGGUACGAAAGCAUGGGGAGCAAACAGGAUUAGAUACCCCAGUAGUCCCUGUCUCUUAUAU
Molecule: ribosomal RNA, 301 nt
Filed under: uncultured bacterium
Lineage: Bacteria
Description: partial 16S ribosomal RNA
Rfam family: Bacterial small subunit ribosomal RNA
Source: RNAcentral